This 465-nucleotide ribosomal RNA is filed under the name Vreelandella stevensii. RNAcentral describes it as "partial 16S ribosomal RNA". It matches the Rfam family "Bacterial small subunit ribosomal RNA", at positions 338 to 795 of the family's 1533-position model. The record is from RNAcentral. Lineage: Bacteria; Pseudomonadati; Pseudomonadota; Gammaproteobacteria; Oceanospirillales; Halomonadaceae.
CCUACGGGUGGCAGCAUUUUUUCCUCUUGGACAAUGGGGGCAACCCUGAUCCAGCCAUGCCGCGUGUGUGAAGAAGGCCCUCGGGUUGUAAAGCACUUUCAGUGAGGAAGAACGCCUGGUGGUUAAUACCCAUCAGGAAAGACAUCACUCACAGAAGAAGCACCGGCUAACUCCGUGCCAGCAGCCGCGGUAAUACGGAGGGUGCGAGCGUUAAUCGGAAUUACUGGGCGUAAAGCGCGCGUAGGUGGCUUGAUAAGCCGGUUGUGAAAGCCCCGGGCUCAACCUGGGAACGGCAUCCGGAACUGUCAAGCUAGAGUGCAGGAGAGGAAGGUAGAAUUCCCGGUGUAGCGGUGAAAUGCGUAGAGAUCGGGAGGAAUACCAGUGGCGAAGGCGGCCUUCUGGACUGACACUGACACUGAGGUGCGAAAGCGUGGGUAGCAAACAGGAUUAGAUACCCUGGUAGUC